Microtus oregoni (creeping vole) is the source of this 107-nucleotide small nuclear RNA. Lineage: Eukaryota; Metazoa; Chordata; Mammalia; Rodentia; Cricetidae. The record is from RefSeq and is a predicted model, not a curated record.
GUGCUUGGUUCAGUAGCACAAAUAGAAAAAUCGAAAUGGUACAGAGAAGAUUAGCAUGGCCCUUGCAUAAGAAUGAUACAUAAAAACAAAUAGAGCCUUCAAUAUUU